UUAAGUUCAGCGGGUAUUCCUACCUGAUCCGAGGUCAACCUUAGAAAGGAAGUUUUCCCUGCGAGAGGGAGGGAGACCGGGUCUCGGGUGCCCUGAUCCGAUACGUGCUCAAUAAAGAAGCUCAGUGUACCGGGGGUCCCACGAGGCCGCCGUCAUUGUCUUUAGGAGGGGUCAGAGGGCACUCCGACCAGGCCGUCCAA
RNAcentral lists this unclassified non-coding RNA (200 nucleotides) under Chaetothyriales sp. RNAcentral's name for it is "partial internal transcribed spacer 2". Lineage: Eukaryota; Fungi; Ascomycota; Eurotiomycetes; Chaetothyriales. The record is from RNAcentral.